RNAcentral lists this ribosomal RNA (468 nucleotides) under uncultured bacterium. RNAcentral describes it as "partial 16S ribosomal RNA". It matches the Rfam family "Bacterial small subunit ribosomal RNA", at positions 28 to 507 of the family's 1533-position model. The record is from RNAcentral.
GACGAACGCUGGCGGCGUGCUUAACACAUGCAAGUCGAACGGAAAGGCCCUGCUUUUGUGGGGUGCUCGAGUGGGGAACGGGUGAGUAACACGUGAGUAACCUGCCCUUGACUUUGGGAUAACUUCAGGAAACUGGGGCUAAUACCGGAUAGGAGCUCCUGCUGCAUGGUGGGGGUUGGAAAGUUUCGGCGGUUGGGGAUGGACUCGCGGCUUAUCAGCUUGUUGGUGGGGUAGUGGCUUACCAAGGCUUUGACGGGUAGCCGGCCUGAGAGGGUGACCGGCCACAUUGGGACUGAGAUACGGCCCAGACUCCUACGGGAGGCAGCAGUGGGGAAUAUUGCACAAUGGGCGGAAGCCUGAUGCAGCAACGCCGCGUGCGGGAUGACGGCCUUCGGGUUGUAUACCGCUUUCGCCUGUGACGAAGCGUGAGUGACGGUAAUGGGUAAAGAAGCACCGGCUAACUACGUG